This 301-nucleotide ribosomal RNA is filed under the name uncultured bacterium. RNAcentral describes it as "partial 16S ribosomal RNA". It matches the Rfam family "Archaeal small subunit ribosomal RNA", at positions 459 to 760 of the family's 1478-position model. The record is from RNAcentral.
CAGUCGCCGCGGUAACACCAGCACCUCGAGUGGUCAGGAGGUUUAUUGGGCCUAAAGCAUCCGUAGCCGGUUGCAUAAGUUUUCGGUUAAAUCUAUGCGCUUAACGUAUAGGCCGCCGAAAAUACUGUGCAGCUAGGGAGUGGGAGAGGUACACGGUACUCGAUAGGAAGGGGUAAAAUCCUUUGAUCUAUUGAUGACCACCUGUGGCGAAGGCGGUGUACCAGAACACGUUCGACGGUGAGGGAUGAAAGCUGGGGGAGCAAACCGGAUUAGAUACCCCAGUAGUCCCUGUCUCUUAUAC